This is a long non-coding RNA of Orcinus orca (killer whale), 1799 nucleotides long. RefSeq lists it as uncharacterized. The transcript is spliced from 2 exons. The record is from RefSeq and is a predicted model, not a curated record. Lineage: Eukaryota; Metazoa; Chordata; Mammalia; Artiodactyla; Delphinidae.
UCCUAUAACUCGCUAUAAUUAACAGCCACGCGAGACUGUGUGAAGGUCCCUGGGACGGAGGGCAGGAACGGCACACGUGCUGGGACCUGGCCGUGCGCGCCUCCCGGGCGCGGCCGCCGUUUGUCUCUGAGCAUCGCCGCCCUCCAUACUCCCCGAGGCUCUCCCACCCGGAGGAACCAGUCACACGCUACUGCCAAGAUGCAGGUGCCGUUUAUCUCGUCGUUACAGAGCUCGGCCGAGCUGUGGCGCCCCGCCAAUAAAUAUUAUUCUCUGCUGCCGGGAGCCAAGGCCAAGCUCAGAUUUGGGGGUGGAGGUCAAACGAGCAAGGUUCCCAGACGAUGGGGGCGGAGGGGGGACAAGAGAGGAGCACAGCGUCUCCGCUCCUGGUGUCGCUUUGCUACAGUUGGAGGGAACCUCAUUUGCUGAAGUGGCACAAUGAACGCCCAGAGGCCGAGACUUGAGCCUCUACACAGGACACUGCCCCUUCUGUUCUUCCCCCGCCGAGGCCAAGAGCUCUUUGUGUGUCUGAAUAACUGGCCGGGAACUGGACAAUGCUCCGUGCCAAGACCGGCGAUGGGCCGGCUUUAGCCCCUGCUGGAAUUCCUCGUCGCUUUACAAAUAUUUGGUGAGUGUGGUCGGCACGCUCUGGGCACACAGAGGCCUCGGCUCUCACCGAACUCACAGCUGGUCCUCGGAGGAGGACAGACAGGAACAGGUGAACGGAGCCACAGGUAGUUUGGGACAAUGAUAAAUGGGGGAAUGAAUGAAACAGGGCAGCCUGGUAGGCAGGACGGGGCCUCCUUCAGGGCAGGGGCGGGAAGGCUCCUGAGGAUGGGCCCUGCUGGAGUGACUUGGGUGUCAGGGGCCGCUGUGCUGUGACGAGGGGUCAGCGGGGGGACAGGACCACCUCCCACGGGCGGUGGGCAUAGAGAGGGGUUUGGAUUUUGUUCUGAGCACCAAGGGGAGCUGCAGGAGGAUGGUAAGCUGGGCUGUGACAUGAAAGGGCCUGCUGUCUGCAGAAAGGGCACUCUGGCCACUCUGGGGUGACAGCAGGCUGGGGAGGUGGGCAGGGUGACCAGGACCUGACCCCAGGAGGAACCUGUGCAUGUGCGGCCUCACAUGGCAAAAGGGGCUCUGCAGCUGGGAUUAAGUGAAGGACCUUGAGGUGAGACAACCCUGGGCUGUCCGAGGGUCCCAAUGUCCUCCCGAGGAUCUGUCUCAGGGAGACAGGAGGUCAGAGUCAGAGAAGGAGGUGAGGACAGAAGCAGAGGUCGGAGCGGUGCGGGGCCACAAGCCAAGGCAUGCGGCUCCUCUAGAAGCUGGAAAGGCAGAGGAUCCUCCCCUGGAGCCUCCAGAGGAACCAGCCCUGCGAUCCCCUGAUCAUAGCCCUGUGAGACCCAGACUGAACGCCUGACCUUCAGAACGUCAGGUACUGGGACUUCCCUGGUGGCACAGUGGUUAAGAAUCCGCCUGCCAACGCAGGGGACACGGGUUCGAGCCCUGGUCCGGGAAGAUCCCACAUGCCGCGGAGCAGCUAAGCCCGUGCGCCACAACUACUGAGCCUGCGCUCUAGAGCCCGUGAGCCACAACUACUGAGCCCGCAUGCCACAACUACUGAAGCCCGUGCACCUAGACCCCGUGCUCCACAACAAGAGAAGCCACCACGAUGAGAAGCCCACGCACCACAAUGGAAAGUAGCCCCCGCUCGCCACAACUAAAGAAAGCCCGCGUGCAGCAACAAAGACCCAACACAGCCAAAAAUAAUAAAUAAAAUAAAUAAAAUUUUUUUUAAAAAGUCA